GGCCCAGACUCCUACGGGAGGCAGCAGUGGGGAAUAUUGCACAAUGGGGGAAACCCUGAUGCAGCGACGCCGCGCGAGCGAUGAAGUAUUUCGGUAUGUAAAGCUCUAUCAGCAGGGAAGAAAAUGACGGUACCUGACUAAGAAGCCCCGGCUAACUACGUGCCAGCAGCCGCGGUAAUACGUAGGGGGCAAGCGUUAUCCGGAUUUACUGGGUGUAAAGGGAGCGUAGACGGCGGCGCAAGCCAGAUGUGAAAGCCCGGGGCUCAACCCCGGGACUGCAUUUGGAACUGUGCCGCUAGAGUGUCGGAGAGGCAGGCGGAAUUCCUAGUGUAGCGGUGAAAUGCGUAGAUAUUAGGAGGAACACCAGUGGCGAAGGCGGCCUGCUGGACGAUGACUGACGUUGAGGCUCGAAAGCGUGGGGAGCAAACAGGAUUAGAUACCCUGGUAGC
RNAcentral lists this ribosomal RNA (449 nucleotides) under uncultured bacterium. RNAcentral describes it as "partial 16S ribosomal RNA". It matches the Rfam family "Bacterial small subunit ribosomal RNA", at positions 328 to 794 of the family's 1533-position model. The record is from RNAcentral.